RNAcentral lists this small nucleolar RNA (107 nucleotides) under Hanseniaspora osmophila. Lineage: Eukaryota; Fungi; Ascomycota; Saccharomycetes; Saccharomycodales; Saccharomycodaceae. The record is from RNAcentral.
UUGAGUGAUGACAAAAGAUGUUGUGCACCAGACUGGACUGCUCUUAAUCGUUUAUUUACUCAUUCAACAAGAGCUAUGAAGCAUAAAAUAUACCCAAAUUUCUGAGU